This 710-nucleotide long non-coding RNA is filed under the name Ailuropoda melanoleuca (giant panda). RNAcentral's name for it is "lncRNA (ENSAMEG00000026418.1)". Lineage: Eukaryota; Metazoa; Chordata; Mammalia; Carnivora; Ursidae. The record is from RNAcentral.
AAAUUGUGAUACAGGCCCAGAAGGAAAACUACAGCUGGUUUUGAGAGAGAACAACUUAGGAGGACAGCAUUGAGACAGCGGGGAGGCCUUUCAGAGAUAACGUUUACACCCUAGCAUAAUCAGUCAAUCAACCACCUGACUAAUCCAGGCCAUAGAGGUGGUCAGUUUCACCUGCUGUGAUUUGCAUACUAAAGAGGUUUCCCUCACUUUUCCCAGCCAUCAAGGAAAGUGCUGCAGCCCACGGCCAUUUUGCCAUUUGCUGAGAGAAAAGCCCCUGAGUUUCCAGAUUUUGGUGACCUCAGAGUAAAAGGGGCUAGUCCGGAGAAGGAAGUUUGGUUUUGAUUGACAAGUCUCAAGAGAAAGGAAAUUCCUUUACCUCCCCUUCUGUUGGAGCAGCCACUUGUCACUUCUGGAGCUGUUGCUGGUCCCUGAGAUGGCCCACAGAGCUCCCUCCAGGCAGAGUGGAGGACCUCGCUGUUCCUGGUGAUGCAACAGGGAAAUGUCAAACCUGGGAUUGGAAGGAAACUCACUGCGGUUGUGAAGAAAGUUGGUGAAACUCCAGCAACUUCGACCACUGGGCUGCUGCUGAGUCCUGGGACUUAAGGUCAAAUUCUAGAAAAGAACUGUGUGGGAUGUACAACCUGGCCUGGUCUCUCGGGUUCUCGGCUGCUGCUGGCAACAUUCUCUGGGUUUGUACUCACAUGAGAGCA